CUAUAUGGUGCUGAUACCUAGGCACCGACAGGCCACAUGCCCCCCGUCUACAAACACAUUUGAAAACGAGGACGAUGUCUGGUGUCUUUCCAGGUGAGAAUUUCAAAGAGUGAGAGAGACCAUUAUCUAAAUCAUCAGCUAACCAAGUCGCUGAAGAGAUAAAUAAUUGAAUGUUAUCUGAAAUUAAUAAAAUCAAACAAGCAUUCCUUAAUUUUAAGAAAAUACUAUCCAUAAUAUGUGAUGUGUAAAAGGAGUUGAAAUCUCACGCUAAUUUUAAAACCGACUUUAAACACACACACACACACACACACACACACACGCACACACACACACACACACACACACACACACACACACACACACAAAUGCAUGUUGAUAUUUAAAAUAGGUGAUACUAUUUUCUAUAUAAAAAAUAGUCUCCAUUCGUUUCUUAAAACAUACAGAGUGGUUUUUACGUUAGGUUGUUGCUCACACCUACAUUGCUUCCUUUGAGGCUGCUGUGGCGCCAUGUGACACGCCUCUUUUUCGCGACUGUUUUUCGCGUGUACAAAAGCUAACGCCACAGAAGCUGAAGCUUUCUUCAGCGGCUAAAACAGUUUUUUUUGCUACGUCUUAAAAGUACGAAAACAUUUUUAAAAAUGUCUGGCUCUCCUAAUGGUAAGUCUAGUUUUCAUUAACAGCCAUUUUAAAUCAAAUUUGUUUAUGUGUGAUCACGAGUCAUCCCAUUACUUGACAGGCAAUUUGAUGUUCUGUGCACAGAGCAACGGUUAUGAGACGAUUGUGAACGAAAUCAAAGCACUGAACGCGGGCGGUAUGUUUGAACGAUUGUUUCUUUAUUUAUUAAAAACCGUUAUGUAUAACGAAUGCGUGUUUAUGAUCGUUCUUUUUUCAUUAUCCCCCACCGACAGCACGCCCUCCACAGCCUAACGUUGCGUACGAGGUACCGGGGGUUAGGACUGACAUCACACCCGCGUCCGGUAAGUUCUGUUAAUAAUUUAUAUUAUGUUGUAAAAAAUAAAAUAAAACUGUACUUGUGGCAGGAUUGACGUUUAUGAUCGUUUUUUUUUUUCUUUUUCUUUUCCCCUUUCUCAUUCAUACAAACAACGAGCGCACAGUCGAUUAGUACGGUGAAGGGCCGAGUCGCGAGAGAAAACAGGGGAUCGCUCUCUUGUUUAAGACAACUUGUUAACCGGUACCCGUCCGUUACAACUGCGGAACGACAUGAAACAGCAAACAGUGCUAGACACGGAACACCAUUAGGAAGAAGAGUGGUUGUGACAGCGCAGAUCCAUUCACCACCGCAAAUAUCUACUAAUUCUACACCUGUUGAUUGUACGGGGAGUUUUGCAAACAGUAUACCUCAAGCAGUUGCUGAUGCAGGUGUUAGAAGACCGUGGGUAAAAUCAAGAUCACACCAUGAACACCAGAAUGUGACUGCUCUCCCGGUUCAGCCCGAUAGACAAAAGACUGUAGACCCCUGUGAGAUCGACGUGAUACCUAACACCCCCGAGCGAAAACGUCCGAGACAAUCAACUCAACCAGAAGACAAGGAGCUCUGGGACGAGCAUUUUGCCCAAGCAUGGGAUGGAUGCGAUAUGAACGUCCAAUCUAAUGUGGAUCAGGAGGAGAAUUUAAAUCAACCCACAGACACUGUUGAAAACGUCGCCGAUUCAGAUGAUGAUGAUGCAGACAAGCUUCCUUCAAACCAGGAGGAAUACAAGAACCAGCAGCUGAACGACACAAACAAUGACAUUUUGAACACUAUUGUCAAGAACCAAGAAAGAAUUAUAGAGGACCAAGCACGUCAUAAACAGCAGAACGACGCAAACAAAGCCAUUUUGGACACUGUUGCCAAGAACCAAGAACAUCAUAAACAGCAGAACGACGCGAACAAAGCCCUUUUGGACACAGUAGCCAAGAACCAAGAAAGAAUUAUAGAGGACCAAGCACGUCAUAAACAGCAGAACGACGCAAACAAAGCUGUUUUGGACACUGUUGUUAAGGAGCAGCAGAAACAAGGGAUCAUCCUUAAACAUAUUGUUGCGUUACUAAAACGUCAUCAUGGUGCACAUGCUAAGACGGCCUGUGAUCAGGAAAUGACUGUAACGCUGUUAACUGAACUGCUGGAUCUUUUUAAAUAACUGUAUUGGUGAGUCCUAUUUUCUUUACCCAGUUUUUUUUUCUAAGUGUGUAUUAUUUUUGUCACAAGUGUGCAUAGAUGUGGUUUUAUGAUUAGAUUUUUUCCUUCUUCUACGUUUAGUUGUGUGGUGUGUAUUUUGUGAAUAUUUUUAAAUAAAUUAGUGUUAGAAAUGGCUGCAAAACGUUGUCGGGAGUCAUGUGAUGGUGAACAAGAUCCACCGUUAAGGGGCAAUAGGGAUGAUAAUUUCCAAAAUCAACAAAACACCACAGAAAAGCUACUCAGGCUCAUACAGACUGUUGAUGAGAUGAAAAAACACAAACCGUCUAAAUUGUUAAAAUUAAUAAACAGGGUACAAUCAAGGGCAGAGCCUCCUCCAGAACCGGUUUUUGAUUUUGAACAGUUUUUAAACUCUCAACAGCUAGACGAGGUGUCAGAACCAGUUUUUGAUUUUGAACAGUUUUUAAACUCUCAACAGCUAGACGAACUGUCAGAGCCUGUUUUUGAUUUUGAACAGUUUUUAAACUCUCAACAGCUAGACGAAGCCCCCGAACCAGUUUUUGAUUUUGAACAGUUUUUAAAUUCUCAACAGCUAGGUGAGGGAGCAGGUACCAGGUCACAUCACACACUUGACCUAACAGACCCCUGCAUGGGUCUCACUCAAGCUGAAAUAGAAACACUUGUAAGAGCGGGUGGCGAUGUGGCCGGAUACUCUGUAGUACCACGAGGGCGAUUCAAUGGUUUGGAAAUCCGCAGGCUUAUAAAUCUAAGGGAAAUAUCUUCUACACGUCUAUCAGACUACACUGUGUUUUUACAUGACACGUUUUCCGAAAUAGUGGCGUUUUCCAGAUUAUUAGGUGGAGAUGGUAGUUUAAUUAACAUCACUUUGAGUGGUCCUAGCUUGACAUCUGAUGUUAAUACACUCUUGUCAGCUAACAAUGAUUACAGUGUCGAUCUCUUCAUCAGUGAUCUUGAAAAAAUCAUGCAAAGCAACACAGAUGUACAGUUUGAUGAGUGUUUAAAUUUAAAAGUGUCUAUAGCAAGAAGUAAACAAGGAGGUGCUCGACGAAAAUUAAGGGAACUAGCCCACAAUCAGGUGAUUGAUAAGAACAGACUUAAUUUGUUCGUCCCCUCAAACAUUGCAGGGGAAAACAAUCUUUGUUUUGCAAUCUGCUUAGCACACUUUCUUAACCCUCAGAAACCACACACUGAGUUAGUGUCCGUAGCAUCAGCAUUGCAGGAGUCUGCAGGAUACACCGAUCAGCAUAUGAUAUCACUUAAGGAUAUUGCCCAGUUUGAACGUAUGUUGAAUAUUAAAAUAGUGGUCUUCUAUAGAACGAAUACAGGAAAGCUGGAGAAAUAUGCAAACACAGAUGUACCGCAUCCUAAAACAGUGUUUUUGUACCUGCACGACAAUCAUUAUUUUAUGAUUAAAAAUCUGAAGGGGUUCGUAGGCACACCAUACGUGUGUGAGUAUUGCUAUCAAGGGUUUACAGCACAGCGAGAUCACAGAUGUCAAUACACUUGUGAUGUUUGCAACGAUUCUGAAUGUCAUCUUUACCCCAAAAAAACAAAACACUGCGGUGACUGUUUGAGGUACUGUAGGUCAGACUAUUGUUUUCAGAAGCAUAAAAAACCACCUCUAGGUCAGAAAUUUGCACAGUGCGACGUUACCAAAUAUUGUGGUAAAUGUAAUAAACGUUACCACGUCAGUGGCGUCAACCCCAAGCCACACAAAUGUCCAGCGGAUUGCUGUGUUCACUGUAGUGAGGUUUUGGUUACCGACGGUGUGCAUCAGUGUUUUAUUCAACCGGUUAAGGUGAAGGAGCCAAAUAAUCGCUACAUUUUUUUUGAUUUCGAAACUCGUUAUGAAAAUAACAGACAUUUUGCAGUUUUUGUAUAUGCGAUCACGUUUGAGGGAGAAGAAUUUUCGGCCGAAGGUUAUGAUUGUGUAGAUCGUCUCAUUAAAGGGCACCUAUUAUGCAAAAUUCACUUUUACAUGGUGUUUGACCAUACAUGUGUGUUGGCAGUGUGUGAGCAAAACCACCCUAGCAUGAUAAAAAUCCACCUAGUGUUUUUUUUACAAUCUCAAUAAUUCAUGAGCACUGUCUCAAAACGCCCUGUUCUAAGACUGCUCUCACUGUGACGUAGAAUUGAGCUAAGCCCCACCGACGUGGUUUGAUUGACAAUCUGGUUUUGGCAUAGAGCCCGCCCUCCGUGAUCUGUACACCAUCCUCCAUUGUUUCAACGACAGCCGGUAAUGUCUCCUAAGAAACAUAAGUGUUCUGUUGUGGGAUGUAAUAAUGAACAUAGUAGUUUUCACUUACUUCCGACAUCAGAGCCACUGAAAACGCAGUGGAUGGAUUUUAUUUAUGAAGGAAAUACGUUUAUGUUUGCGCGAAUCAUUUUUUGACUGACUGUUUUGAGAACGAGGGUCAAUUCAAAGCAGGUCUUGCUUCAAAGUUAAUCCUCAAGUCUGGAUCGUUGCCUACUGUUCGCGAUGCAACGUCACCUUCAGAAGAAGUAAGUGUAUUUCAUGUUUUUUUAGAAAAUAGUCAUUUCAGUCGAUGUCAGCCAGUUCAAUAACAAAUGCGUCUAAAGUUGUUGUCGUCGUCGUAGAAAAUCUGACUGUGUAUAUAAUGUAAACCUUGUUUGUAAAGUGUGUAUCCACACGUAUAUAAUUUUUUAAAGAUAUUGUAUUAAAAACCGUGUAUGUUUUCUGUAAAGACAAGACAUCAAAAUUGCUAUGUUUAUACAAAGGCCAGCACAUCGACACGAAGCUGUAGAACGAGGGAUAUUGGCGUGCAGACAGAAACAUCAAAGCUAUGCAGUGUUGGUACACAACUGUCAAUGAGGACGCUUCAAACACACCACAGGAGUGUCUGUGUCCAGACAGAGACAACAUUGUCAAGUUUUGAUGUUAGCACAAAAUUAGUUUCUCAUACAGCUGUUGCGUCUUCCACGCCCCUCAAGACUUCAUCAAAAAGACCUUGUCUGGACCUUGAGGAAGAUGAAGAUAUCCUGCAGGAAUGCUCUUCAAUACUAACAUCACAAGAGACUGAUGUCACAUUUAAUCCUGCAGAGGCAGACACAUCAAUAACAGAGCCAAAAGACUUGUCAGCUCAAGAAUCCAGCCCUAUUCAAAACAUUUGUAAAUAUAUUGUCUAUGAGACCUGCAUCAUGGAACUGUUUGAUGUGUGCCCGGUAUGUCAUAGAAGCUGUCAUAUAAGAUCACAAAGGAUUGGAACAUUUCUACGUGUUGAACAACUCUGCCACCAUUGUCAGUUCUCACGGAAAUGGAACAGUCAGCCGAUUUUGGGCAGUACUCCAGCUGGAAACCUUCACCUUUCUGCUGCUGUGUAUCUCAGUGGUGCUUCAUUUUUCACAAUUGAAAAGAUAUUUGCAGCUAUGAAGUUACAUCUUUUCAAGUACGACACCUUUCGUCGUCAUGCACGAAUGUGCAUUGAGCCUGCUAUUGUUUACAAAUGGAGAAACUGGCAGGAUGAGAUGCUACAGCUGUUGGCUCAAAGGGAAAAGGUCAUUGUUGGAGGAGAUAUGAGGGCUGACUCACCAGGGCACUCUGCCAAAUAUGGCAGUUACACAAUGAUGGACCUGGAGACAAACACCGUUGUUGAUGUACAACUCGUCCAGAGUAAUGAAGUGGGAGGAAGUUACCACAUGGAAAAGGAAGGUUUGAAGAGAGGUCUUGACUUUUUGGAUGCUCAUGGAGUGACUCUGGACUGCAUUGUGACUGACCGACAUCCGCAAAUACAAAAAUUCCUCAGGGAACGCAAUGUCAACCAAUUCUAUGAUGUCUGGCACAUAGAGAAAGGAAUUUCAAAGCAGCUGGAAAAAGUGUGCAAGCUAAAGGGUUGUGAGAAAAUACGUAAAUGGUUGCAUAGUAUAAAAAACCACAUCUAUUGGACUGCUGCAUCAUCAAGCAGUGGACCUGAAAGAGUGGCUAAAUGGAUGUCUAUGCUAAACCACAUGCAAAAUAAGCACACACAUGAAGACAGCAAUUUUCCAGCAUGUCUACAUGGAACAAGGAGAAGUCGAGACACAAAAAAGUGGCUAGCUGCUGGAACACUGCCAUAUCUCAAGUUGGAGAAAGUUCUCUCCAACAAGAGAAUUGUGAAGGAUGUUGCCAAGCUAAGUCCACACUAUCAGACUUCUUCUAUCGAGGUUUUCCACAGUGUAAUACUACGGUUUACACCAAAAAAUGUGGUUUUUCCAUUUCUGGGAAUGUUGUGCAGACUAUACCUGGCUGCACUACAUUACAAUGAGAAUGCCGGGCGUCCUCAAGCCACGACAGCAGCUGGUCGACCGGUGUUCAAAGUGACCUUUCCAAAGGCCAAGAAGGGAGAAUACCGGGUCAGAGAAGUAAAGACACAAGCAACAUUCAAAUAUGUGGAUGACCUGCUGGACCUCAUAUUUGAUAAAGUCUUUGUGGAUCCUGCACCAUAUGUGGAUGAUGUUUUGAGGAUACCAAUACCACCAGCAUUGUGCGCAGAGUAUGACCGGCCAGAGAAGGAGGAGGCCAUCUCUAGUAGGGUAUCUCGGUUUAAUCAAUAGGUGGUCGAAAACCUACAUAACUACCCUGGGCAUCAGGAAACUCUCUUCGAAUCCUCAGGACCACACAGGAUGGAAUCACAACUCGAACUUUUCGUCCAAGGAAACCCCAGCACCAGCUCACAAAACUCCGAUAAGCUAAAAAUCUGUAACGACUAAGGCACACACACACAUAGCCACGUUCUCAAAACAGGGUUCAAGGAUUUUUCUGUGUUUUUUUUUCUUUCAAAUAUCUAUCAUUUGUUGUCUGGAGUUGAAAUAUUUGAUAUUUAAUUGAUCAUGGUUCAAUUUUUUUUGGAGGAAUGUCCUUUUAUUAAAAUUAUUUAAUUUCUAAACUUAUUUGUACAGUUCAGUGUCUUUAUACAUAAUGUAAAUAAAAAAAUGUAUAUGCAA
RNA transcript from Carassius gibelio (silver crucian carp), 7099 nucleotides. RefSeq lists it as uncharacterized. Lineage: Eukaryota; Metazoa; Chordata; Actinopteri; Cypriniformes; Cyprinidae. The transcript has 13 exons. The record is from RefSeq and is a predicted model, not a curated record.